This 894-nucleotide long non-coding RNA is filed under the name Homo sapiens (human). RNAcentral describes it as "long non-coding RNA NONHSAT176022.1". The record is from RNAcentral. Lineage: Eukaryota; Metazoa; Chordata; Mammalia; Primates; Hominidae.
CUCUUACACAUUGAGUGUGGUUUCUGCAGUGAUGGGGAAGUUCUGUCAACCCUGGCCUGCUUUGGGACACCAGUGGACCUCCCCAGAGCUGGUGGUGAAAAUUCCUGGAGGAUGCCAAGACAGGAGGAUUGCUUGAUGCCAAGACAGGAGGAUUGCUUGAGGCCAAGUAUUCAAGACCAGCCUGGGCAACACAGACAUUGCAACAUCCCUGUCUUUACCAAAAAGGAAAAAAUUAGCCAGCCAUGGUGGCAUGCACCUAUGGGCCUAGUUACUCAAGAGGCUGACGUGGGAAGAUAGCUUGAGCCCAGGAGUUCAAGGUUACAGUGUCCAGCCUGGGUGACAGAAUAAGACCACGUCUCAAAAAACAAAGAAACAAACAAACCAGCCUGGGACCUCCUCCCUGCUUUGCUUCCUCUUCAGCAUGUGUGAUCUCUUUGCACAUGCCGAUUCCCCUUUCACAUUCCACCUUGAGCUGAAGCAGCCUGAGACCCUCACCAGAGGCCCAAUCUUGAACUUUCCAGCCACCAGAAUUGCAAGCUAAAUAAACCUCUUUUCUUCAUAAGAUAGAUCCUCCGAAUGAGGAACAAUGUAUUCUUCUUUUCUCCUAAUUCUCCUAAAAAAUCCACUUGGGAGAUACCUGCUGCAAAACUUAAAGGCAACCAUAUUCUGUACUUAGAUGAAGUGUUUGUCAAGCUCCCUGGAAAAGAGAAUCAAAGGACCCUGACUUGUUUACUCUGCCUUCUGGAAGAAAAAAGUGAUGAGAGAGAGUGGCAAUCUCACACCAUGCUGAAAAGCGCCCCCCAACUAACUCAGAUCCAUGCGUCCCUUUGGGCCCUGAGGAAUAAUACUGCUGGUUUAAUUCAAGAUAUAAAACCAAUAAAAAUGGUUUACCUA